UAACGCGUGGAUAACCUGCCGUAUACAGGGGGAUAACACUUAGAAAUAGGUGCUAAUACCGCAUAAGCGCACGGUUCCGCAUGGAACAGUGUGAAAAACUUCGGUGGUAUACGAUGGAUCCGCGUCUGAUUAGCCAGUUGGCGGGGUAACGGCCCACCAAAGCGACGAUCAGUAGCCGGCCUGAGAGGGUGAACGGCCACAUUGGGACUGAGACACGGCCCAAACUCCUACGGGAGGCAGCAGUGAGGAAUAUUGCACAAUGGGGGAAACCCUGAUGCAGCGACGCCGCGUGAGUGAAGAAGUAUCUCGGUACGUAAAGCUCUAUCAGCAGGGAAGAAAAUGACGGUACCUGAUUAAGAAGCCCCGGCUAACUACGUGCCAGCAGCCGCGGUAAUACGUAGGGGGCAAGCGUUAUCCGGAUUUACUGGGUGUAAAGGGAGCGUAGACGGCAGCGCAAGUCUGGAGUGAAAUGCCGGGGCCCAACCCCGGAACUGCUUUGGAAACUGUGCAGCUCGAGUGCAGGAGAGGUAAGCGGAAUUCCUAGUGUAGCGGUGAAAUGCGUAGAUAUUAGGAGGAACACCAGUGGCGAAGGCGGCUUACUGGACUGUAACUGACGUUGAGGCUCGAAAGCGUGGGGAGCAAACAGGAUUAGAUACCCUGGUAGU
This 665-nucleotide ribosomal RNA is filed under the name uncultured bacterium. RNAcentral describes it as "bacterial SSU rRNA". It matches the Rfam family "Bacterial small subunit ribosomal RNA", at positions 111 to 794 of the family's 1533-position model. The record is from RNAcentral.